CGGAGGGUGCAAGCGUUAUCCGGAUUCACUGGGUUUAAAGGGUGCGUAGGCGGAAUGGAAAGUCCGUUGUGAAAUCUCUGAGCUUAACUCGGAAAUUGCGGUGGAUACUAUCAUUCUUGAAUACUGUGGAGGUUAGCGGAAUAUGUCAUGUAGCGGUGAAAUGCAUAGAUAUGACAUAGAACACCAAUUGCGAAGGCAGCUGGCUAUACAGAUAUUGACGCUGAGGCACGAAAGCGUGGGGAUCAAACAGGAUUAGAUACCCUGGUAGUCCACGCCCUAAACGAUGAUUACUCGACAUUUGCGAUACACAGCAAGUGUCUGAGCGAAAGCAUUAAGUAAUCCACCUGGGUAGUACGACCGCAAGGUUG
RNAcentral lists this ribosomal RNA (368 nucleotides) under uncultured organism. RNAcentral describes it as "bacterial SSU rRNA". It matches the Rfam family "Bacterial small subunit ribosomal RNA", at positions 526 to 896 of the family's 1533-position model. The record is from RNAcentral.